Long non-coding RNA from Mugil cephalus (flathead mullet), 1857 nucleotides. RefSeq lists it as uncharacterized. NCBI's taxonomy places the organism in Eukaryota, Metazoa, Chordata, Actinopteri, Mugiliformes, Mugilidae. The transcript is spliced from 3 exons. The record is from RefSeq and is a predicted model, not a curated record.
UUACAGGCACCGUUUCGCCUGCUUUCGCUUUUAGUUCUGCGCUCCGUUUCAUAAUAUAUAUGCAAUAGACAAGAUAGAAUCGCGAGAAUUAAGCGUCGAUGGAAAUGAAUCGGGUAAACGUCUGCAAAACAAAUGGCUGCAACGUUUUUUUUUUUUCCAUCCUUUGUGUUAACAUUUCAGCUUCCUCCUUUUCACAACCGUCUUUUUGCAGGGUUCCUGUUCAAAUCCGCGAGUCGCCAUUUGUUCUUUUGCACAUUUGAAAAUAUUUAAUAUGGCGAUCCGAGAACUGCUUACUUUAUCUUGCGGUGAAAAGAAACGGUGGCCAUCCUCGCUGCCGAUGGGGAGACCCCUCCGUAUUAGGGGGAUCGUUGCGUUUGCGCACUAGGCCUAGAUCGUUCAAAUCAGACGGAGCUGCUGGUGUAGCGCAGCUGGGCGUUACCAACCGCCCUGGAAAAACUGAGGUGACGUCUGAAGGCAAUUUAGAUGCGUCAACUCAUCAGAUGCACAUGCACUGAACGCCACUCGGCUGUGUGAUUACAGUGAUGACCACCAGAAUUUCGUGGGACAGAAGUGGCACCCGGUGUGGUCCUCUGCUGCUGUGGCACAUCUACUUCAAGCUUCGACGUGGUCCAACCAAAGUGAGGAAUCAUCACGCCACAUCCGCAACCCGAUGCUCAGUGACGUCUGAGAGGUGCCGUGAGCCAGGGCCGUGGCAGUGGCCUGAGUGUAGUAACUAGUUAAAUUACAAGUAGUUAUUGCCACAUGUUACUUUGUCCACCAAUCAUGAGAAACGUUUAGCGUCCAAUGCACAACAACAGCUAAUGCUAAUUAGAGAGCGGACCAGCACGAAGCUUUUAAACCCUUGAGACAUGCCUGUUUGAAUUUGUCUGAACAGAAGAGGUGUAUUAUAACACGAUGACAUAAGUUGGGUACACAGAACACUCUUUGCAAUAAGUUAGUGCUGCCAAUGACAAUGUUCCUCCAAUUUCUCCUAUUGCUAAUGCAUUUGUUGUCAACAUCGUUGCUAACAUUGAUUAAACCAACAUCAGCUGACAGUAGAUAACCCUUAUUCUGUCCGAACUGUGACUAUUUUGUAUUUAGAAGCGGAAGAUAUUACAUAUGUCCAUGAAUUUUCUAGUAUAAAUGCUACAUUAAACAAAAUGUUAAGCAUCAUAGUUGCCAUUAAUUAUUUCAUAGAAAUCUUAAAUGAUGAGUUUUUGUGACGCACACAGAUCUACUUGCAUGAAGACGUUAAAGCAAACGCCACAAAAAUAAUUCAGCCCUUUUUUUUCGUCAAAGCGCUUAGCUGAAAUGUUUUGCUCAUCAGCCACAACAGUCCUCUAGAUUUCCCUAUAGGAGGGGUGGGCUCCAACAGCCCUGCCGUGAGCAGUGUUUGGUGUGUUGCGGAGACCUGUCAACAGGUGGACUUCGGGGACCACAGUGCGCCUGUGCCACUAGGAGUACGAGGAGGAUUGCGAGUCACUACAACGAAAGAAGAAUCUGGAGUUGUUGUCGUUAUUUUUAUAUCUUAUGAUGCAAUUCUGUUACUGGUCCUACCCCUUGAGAUCGAAGUGGGUUGAAUGUUGCCCUCUAACUAAAAAUGACCCCCCUGGUCCAGAGAGAGUGCGAGAGUGAGUGAGUGAGAAAUGUUACUUUGAUAUAAACGUGAAUAUAUUUGUGUGUUUUUUUUUUUUUUUUUGUUUUUUUUUUUUUUGUUUUGUUUUUUGUAUGUAUUUAUUUUAUGUUUGAUUUAGUUUAUUUACAUGUUUUAAUUUUCAUUGGUUCUGAAUGUGAUUUGACACUACGUUUGUUUCCAAAUUGACUUGAAAAAUGUCAGUAAAUGAAAAUUAGCAGUGA